AGGGUGGUGAUGCAAAAGUAGGAUGUGCAGGUGGAGGAGCUGAAUGGUGUGACUGUUGAGAAUGAUCAUUUCUCCACCUAAAAUUUGGAUGAUUCUUCCAACCAGGGUUAUAGGUAUUCGAGUAUGGAUCGUUAUAAGACUUUUGGUAGGAGUUCAUAGCAUUUGCUUGAUCGUGCAAGACUUCUUUGAAUGCCGGUAUGGUGGG
This 205-nucleotide long non-coding RNA is filed under the name Phoenix dactylifera (date palm). RNAcentral's name for it is "long non-coding RNA (PDAC_LNC011849)". The record is from RNAcentral. Lineage: Eukaryota; Viridiplantae; Streptophyta; Magnoliopsida; Arecales; Arecaceae.